RNAcentral lists this ribosomal RNA (208 nucleotides) under uncultured bacterium. RNAcentral's name for it is "partial 16S ribosomal RNA". It matches the Rfam family "Bacterial small subunit ribosomal RNA", at positions 568 to 775 of the family's 1533-position model. The record is from RNAcentral.
CGCGUAGGCCGUUGAGUUAGUUAAUUGUGAAAUCCCAAAGCUUAACUUUGGAACUGCAAUUAAAACUGCUCGACUAGAGUUUGAUAGAGGAAAGCGGAAUACAUAGUGUAGAGGUGAAAUUCGUAGAUAUUAUGUAGAACACCAGUUGCGAAGGCGGCUUUCUGGAUCAACACUGACGCUGAGGCGCGAAAGUAUGGGUAGCAAAAGA